CAGUAGCCACGGGAACACGUAGGGUGCAAGCGUUAUCCGGAAUUAUUGGGCGUAAAGAGCUCGUAGGCGGUCUGUCGCGUCUGCUGUGAAAACUGGGGGCUCAACCCCCAGCCUGCAGUGGGUACGGGCAGACUAGAGUGCGGUAGGGGAGAUUGGAACUCCUGGUGUAGCGGUGGAAUGCGCAGAUAUCAGGAAGAACACCGAUGGCGAAGGCAGAUCUCUGGGCCGUAACUGACGCUGAGGAGCGAAAGCAUGGGGAGCGAACAGGAUUAGAUACCCCUGUAGUCCCUGUCUCUUAUAC
RNAcentral lists this ribosomal RNA (301 nucleotides) under uncultured bacterium. Its description in RNAcentral is "partial 16S ribosomal RNA". It matches the Rfam family "Bacterial small subunit ribosomal RNA", at positions 509 to 807 of the family's 1533-position model. The record is from RNAcentral.